CUCUGACUUGAGCAGGCAUGAAGGAGCAUUACUCCUUUUUCCAAUCUCUACAACAUCACCUGAAUGCAGCAUAAGUUGCCUCUCUGACCUAAGCUGACACCAGGAGCACAGGACCUGACAAAGACUGGUUGGAACUGCACCUGGUCAAGUGGUGUAAAGGUGACUGUUGUCAAAUAACUUGUAUUCAGAAUAAAAAAGUUCUCACUAGUUCUUUUUCUAGCUGUUGGAGGCAGUGUCACACAUAAUAUACAAGGGGUCAAUGGAUGUUUUUGUAACUCACUGGCAAAGAGGUACUGUACAUAUAACUCCAACUAAAUGUAUUAGGGCUAAUUUGAAUGUAUGCAAACAGCACUUUUACACUGUGACUAUUUGCUCUGCAGUUUGAGAAACAUUGGACCAUUUGUGUUCUAUGAUUUUGAAAAUGUGUUUUUGGCUCAUUCACACAUGUUUAGCAAGUACAAAAUUCACUCCUUACUUUAUGCUGACACAGACUUAAAGUUUUCAGACAGAGAAGAUUGGAUAUUGAGGUCUGUCUCAUACAGAGACCUGAUCCCUAUGGCAGUAAAAGGGAACAAAGGACAUAGCCUAUAUUUGAGUAUUGAGGGAUUUGAGUUAAAAUGCAGACAGACUAUAAAACUGAAAAUGUAUUGGAUUGUUAAAAAUACCUCAAAUACAGUGAUCUUAAAUGGUAUAAUUUAUUGUGUUUUUAAGCUCACAUUAGAUGUUUCCCAAAUUGUGCAGUCCUAUUGAAUUUUAGGAGUCUCGUUCUGGUAUGAUAGAGUCAGCAGGUGAGAUCACAAUGAACUGUGGUAAAGUUUUUAUCCUUUUUUAUUAUUCAUUGAAAAAUAAAUCUGAACAGCUCAACACUCUGUCCUUGACAUAUGCCUGAGUGUUUUUUAGUGAGCUCUUUUUUUACUGAAGUCUGUUUUAUAGAUUCCUCUGGAAAAAAAAAAGGGGGGGGGGGGGGUGAGACGUGGAGCUGUUUGUCAAUCCGUGUCUUCAGUGAAGCACAGCAGUAAAUCCUUUCAGCAAUCAGACAAACCUUACUGUCAAAGCUGUUGAUCCUCUGAAGAUCUUUCCCUCUAAGUGGACUUGAACCAUCACAUCAGCACCUGGAUAACCUGAUCAUUUUCUUGAUUAAAGUCCAGACUGAGCAGUCAGUGUAGGAGUAGCUGUUUAUGAGCAUUUCUUUAUCCAGAAACAAACACAGAUCAGUUUCUCUCUUUUUAUAGAUUAUAAGGAAAGUCAGCAGCUCCACAUGUCUGUCAGAUCUCCAUCAGAGCCCCUUUUCUCCUGUGAACACUGCUGUAAUAACAGAGAAGAGAUCACUGCUCUCCAGAAACAGAAUAUUAACGGUACUUUGAAGUUUCAGCAGCAACAAUGAUCUAUGAAUUCAAUAUGCUCAGAUAAUCUCCUUAUCCAGAGCCCAGAGGAUGGAGUAAAAAGCACGUGCACUUACAUGUAUGAGCGCCAUGAAGUGCCAGCCAUAGAGCAAACAGCCAGGGAGUCAGAAUUAAAGAAGUUAAUGAUAACAACGCCAUAACCAUCUGUGACAGGGAAUAUUUGUCUAACUUAUAUCACAGUUUAGUGGGAGCUCACUCGAUGCAGUCUCUUUCUGUUGAUCUUAUGCUGAUAAAUAUCUUCUUUUUCAGUUAAUGAGUCUUUGUGUGAGAUCAGAGAGGGACCCCUUAAUCCCCUCAGCUCAACUGGAAACAAAGUCCUGAAUGGCAAAUUCUUAAAGCAGAAUCACUCCCAAUUUAAGCAGAAAACAAUGCCGGGACUUUUUAUUUUGCAUUUUUUUUUCAAACAAAAAUAUCAGUUCACAUGCUGCUGACCAAUAACAAAAUAGACAAGAUCAACAAUGAAGUGAAGUGUUUGAAACAGCUGCCUCCAAACAAGCAUCUGGUCUUUAAAUGUCAGAAACAAUCAGAUUCAAGCUGCCAUAACAAGCAGACAGCCUGGGCCUUUGACUGCUGCUCUAACAGGCUGAAACUCCCAUUUCAAACAUCCAACUUUGGUGGAAAAAUGAAAAGAGCAUUACUCUUUCAACACUGUCAACAUCAGCCAGCCUGGAGUGGUGAUUUUAAUGUAGCUUUAGUGUGCAGUCUGCUGCUACUCUCCAUAGAUAACUGAACAAAACUAGAGUGACCUGGCAUGCCUCAUCUUCCUGAUCUGAGCUUUAAAGCUGAUCGAUUUCAGGCUAUGGGCUCAUCUAUGCGACCUUUACCUAUAAAAAUAGGUCUGUACGUUCAAGACAAUGUUGCGGAGAGGAACAAUGGAAACACUGUCACUUUUACAGUUCUGAACUCUUGUUUUAAUGAUGACACCAGUUUCAUCUUUCAGUGUUUUCUUCGGCUGUUACAGUUUUGUUUACCACCCAGCCUCCUAGAAACACAUUUAUGAACUCCACUUCUGGAGUGAGAACUCUUGAGUCUGCACAGAACAGUUAGGCAAGUCUCAGUAUGAUGGCACUUCAAGAUCUUUAAACUUCAUCCAUGUGGACCCCAGGAAGAGGAGCUGCUACAUUAACAGAUAUGAACCAAGCAAAGAGGAAUAAACUGCAUCGGCUCUAAUUUCGUGCCCUCUGGCGGUGCAGCACGGGGCUCACCCUGCACAGUGGUAAUUUAGUGCAGCAUAGCCCCUCGUGCAGCCACUUUGGUAAAUUUGUGGACUGAGGCGCACUGAGAUGUGCCAAGCUGGGCAGGGCAGCGCAGUACGGGGAGGUGUCAACGCAGCUGGUGUAUUGACAAAUUUGUGCAGAGCGAUGCAGAGAGUGCGUUGAAAGCUCGCCAGUUUAAAUCUAGUCAGCUUUCGGUAAAGGUGGAGCGCAGCUGGAACAUUUUAGUGUUAGGCACUUGUAUCAUAUUAUGAUGUGUUAUGAAUAUACACUCACCGGCCACUUUAUUAGGUACACCAUGCUAGUAACGGGUUGGACCCCCUUUUGCCUUCAGAACUGCCUCAAUUCUUCGUGGCAUAGAUUCAACAAGGUGCUGGAAGCAUUCCUCAGAGAGCUUGGUCCAUAUUGACAUGAUGGCAUCACACAGUUGCCGCAGAUUUGUCGGCUGCACAUCCAUGAUGCGAAUCUCCCGUUCCACCACAUCCCAAAGAUGCUCUAUUGGAUUGAGAUCUGGUGACUGUGGAGGCCAUUUGAGUACAGUGAACUCAUUGUCAUGUUCAAGAAACCAGUCUGAGAUGAUUCCAGCUUUAUGACAUGGCGCAUUAUCCUGCUGAAAGUAGCCAUCAGAAGUUGGGUACAUUGUGGUCAUAAAGGGAUGGACAUGGUCAGCAACAAUACUCAGGUAGGCUGUGGCGUUGCAACGAUGCUCAAUUAGUACCAAGGGGCCCAAAGAGUGCCAAGAAAAUAUUCCCCACACCAUGACACCACCACCACCAGCCUGAACCGUUGAUACAAGGCAGGAUGGAUCCAUGCUUUCAUGUUGUUGACGCCAAAUUCUGACCCUACCAUCCGAAUGUCGCAGCAGAAAUCGAGACUCAUCAGACCAGGCAACGUUUUUCCAAUCUUCUAUUGUCCAAUUUCGAUGAGCUUGUGCAAAUUGUAGCCUCAGUUUCCUGUUCUUAGCUGAAAGGAGUGGCACCCGGCGUGGUCUUCUGCUGCUGUAGCCCAUCUGCCUCAAAGUUCGACGUACUGUGCGUUCAGAGAUGCUCUUCUGCCUACCUUGGUUGUAACGGGUGGUUAUUUGAGUCACUGUUGCCUUUCUAUCAGCUCGAACCAGUCUGGCCAUUCUCCUCUGACCUCUGGCAUCAACAAGGCAUUUCCGCCCACAGAACUGCCGCUCACUGGAUAUUUUUUCUUUUUCGGACCAUUCUCUGUAAACCCUAGAGAUGGUUGUGCGUGAAAAUCCCAGUAGAUCAGCAGUUUCUGAAAUACUCAGACCAGCCCUUCUGGCACCAACAACCAUGCCACGUUCAAAGUCACUCAAAUCACCUUUCUUCCCCAUACUGAUGCUCGGUUUGAACUGCAGGAGAUUGUCUUGACCAUGUCUACAUGCCUAAAUGCACUAAGUUGCCGCCAUGUGUGAGCGCAGCUGGAACAUUUUAGUGUUAAGCACUUGUAUCAUAUUAUGAUGUGUUAUGAAUAUAUGUAGACAUAUCAUGUGAGACAACAGACAAUUGAAUUUUCCUUCGGGGAUUAGUAAAGUUAUUCUUAUUCUUAUUGUAAUGGACACUCAACCUGACUGAAUUAACACAGCUGAAACUGCAUAAAACUAAAUAUCCUAAACACACACAAUGAUGUUAAACACAAUAUUUAAUUCGUGCCAUCACCACCUCUUCCUCCUCUUCCUUAGCUGGACACCACACACUGUUAAUGGAGCCUGAGAGCCGUCUGCCUCUCAUGCGUAGCCUUGACGGCCACCUGGGAAAGGCGGGUUCAGUGGAUGGCUCCGGGGUAGGAAGCAGUAAAGUUAGUAACAUUAGCUACUGUCCUCCACUCCAACAUUUGGAAUCCCACCCACCAGGUCUUGAGUUCCAAGUUUAAUGCAAAUUUGCAUGGCAUUUGUUUAUGUUGUAAUCUGUGCGCACAACCCACCUUUGUCACGUGGGUUUUAAAUAUAUGCAACUUGAUGUGAGUGUCUUUAUUUGUGGAAUAGGGUGUUUGUCUUACCAGUGGGUCCAACCUUACACACACUAAAUCCCUCUGUGGUCAUUUAAGAGAGUGUGGAGGAAGUGACGUCCUCUGAUGCGCUUAGUGUGACACUUGUUGAGGGACUGCCUCCACUCCUCAGUCAUCUUUUAGACUACUUCAUAAAUUUCACCUCGCUGGUGGCACAUAUAUAGGUGAAGAGAGGAGAUGAUGUGAUAGGUGAAAAUUGGACCUGGGAGUGUUAAACCCACUCCAAGCCUUCUCUCCUCCUUCUUUCCUUCUUGCACCACACCUGUGCCACGCCAACAAGGAGGCAUGAAAUUAGAGCCCUGUGUCUGUUUUCACACAAAUAUUGAUCCAGAAGUUAUGAGCACUGUCAUACAAGUUUUUAUUGAUCUGCAUGACAUUUUAUAUUCAGAUCCUGUCUCAGAGUAAUGAGCUGGUGAAAACACCAUCUGUUAUUUGUAAUAAAUCUCCUAUGCAGUCAAUUGUAGAUCAAAAAGAUGUAUAAGAACUGGUUCAUCAUCUGCUGAUAGUUAGCUGAAGGUUCCCUACAGGUAUUGGAGAUUCGACUUUAAUCAAUCAGGAAGUAAGGAAAACAUAACCAGCACGUAUCAGCUAUUUUCGACAGUUUCACACUCACAUACCUAAGAACGUAUGAAUAAUUAAUCCUGAAUAAUCAGGAAAUAAGCUGCAGGGUGUCACAACAAAGCUUCACUUUAAACAUGAUUUUAAUCAGCAUAUUUAUGAAACUUUUGACUCCAAUCUGUGUUGGGUGGAAAAUCCAUGAAUCUGCAAUUUCCAGCUGGGAUUGUAAAGACCAGCUCUUGAAUAUCAACCUUACAGCAGAGCAUCUCAGCUCACACAUGGCUCUUUUUUUUACCAGCCAUACUUGUGAUAAUCCCACACUAAUCCUCAAUUUAAUCUUACAGUCCAGUGUUCCUCUCUGCAGAGCCCACCAAGAAGACCAUCAGAGACCUCUUUGUUCCCUAAAGCUCUGCUUCAAUGACUUUUUGGGUGGAAUAAAACAUGUUAUUUCCUAAAGCCCUAACAUUCUCAGAGAUCCUCUAGACUGAUUUAUAUGCAGGCAUUACUCUGAAGACAGGUGGGAGGGGGGUUGAGGAUAGAAAAUGUGAUGGGGCCAUGACAGAGGUGCCUGAAUAAAAAAGUGCCAGCAGGUUUUAAUACAAAUACAAACAAAUUCAGUAGAAAACAAUGGUCUUCAAAAGCUUUGAAUGAAUGCAGAAAUGGGUGACAAAAUGAUGGAUCCACUCCACAGUCUGAUGUGUGUGAGUCAUAAUGAGAGUCAGAUCGGAGGGCUUUCUCUGGGGGAUACCUGCUCUUCUCUGUAAACACGUUAAAGUCCAUGAAAGGCAGAUUUCACAGGAGGUCUGCUCUCCUGCUCUGAUCUGAUUUUUGCUCCUCUCUUCCAUCCCUCAUCCUCUGAAAUAAUUCAGUUUCCUCUGAUGUUUCUCUUUGUUUCUUCCCUAGGAAAUGUGGAGCAGAGUGUAAACCUGAGUCCAGGGUCACUGUGGUCCUCAUUUCUUUCUAAGCUCUGUAUGAGGAGACCAGCUUGGACUGAGACAUCCAGAUCCUCUGAGUGUAAACCCCCUUUGGAUCCUAAUGAUGGAUGUCUUUCUUUUGAGGCAGAACGGUGAUAGUCAGCUGUGACUGAGCAGAGUCCAAUCCUCUCUCUGAUUCAAGCAAUGUAGAUCAAACAAAUCUUUGUGUAUCUGUAAAUAAACCUUUCAAAUGGUUCUUUAACACAUCCACAAUGAUAAUUCCCUUAAACAAAACAUCUGAUUAGGGCAG
Non-coding RNA from Xyrichtys novacula (pearly razorfish), 6415 nucleotides. The record is from the annotation of a GenBank genome assembly. NCBI's taxonomy places the organism in Eukaryota, Metazoa, Chordata, Actinopteri, Labriformes, Labridae.